AUUGAACGCUGGCGGAAUGCUUUACACAUGCAAGUCGAACGGCAGCACGGACUUCGGUCUGGUGGCGAGUGGCGAACGGGUGAGUAAUACAUCGGAACGUGCCCAGUCGUGGGGGAUAACGUAGCGAAAGCUACGCUAAUACCGCAUACGAUCUAAGGAUGAAAGCGGGGGAUCGCAAGACCUCGCGCGAUUGGAGCGGCCGAUGGCAGAUUAGGUAGUUGGUAGGGGAAAGGCCUACCAAGCCGACGGUCUGUAGCUGGUCUGAGAGGAUGAUCAGCCACACUCGGACUGAGACACGGCCCAGACUCCGACGGGAGGCAGCAGUGGGGAAUUUUGGACAAUGGGCGCAAGCCUGAUCCAGCCAUUCCGCGUGCAGGAUGAAGGCCUUCGGGUUGUAAACUGCUUUUGUACAGAACGAAAAGGCUCUGGUUAAUACCCGGGGCUCAUGACGGUACUGUAAGAAUAAGCACCGGCUAACUACGUGCCAGCCGCCGCAGUAA
RNAcentral lists this ribosomal RNA (500 nucleotides) under uncultured bacterium. Its description in RNAcentral is "partial 16S ribosomal RNA". It matches the Rfam family "Bacterial small subunit ribosomal RNA", at positions 30 to 523 of the family's 1533-position model. The record is from RNAcentral.